GACGAACGCUGGCGGCGUGCUUAACACAUGCAAGUCGAACGGAAAGGCCCUGCUUUUUUGGGGUUCUCGAUUGCCGAACGGGUGAGUAACACGUGUGUAACCUGCCCUUGUCUUUGGUAUAACUUCAGGAAACUGGAGCUAAUACCGUAUAGGAUCUCCUGCUGCAUGGUGGGCGUUGGAAAGUUUCGGCGGUUGGGGCUGGACUCGCGGCUUAUCAGCUUGUUGGUGGGGUAGUGGCUUACCAAGGCUUUGGCGGGUAGCCGGCCUGAGAGGGUGGCCGGCGACAAGGGGACUGAGAGACGGAGCAGACUCCUACGUGAGGCAGCAGUCGGAAAUAUUGCACAAUGAGCGGAAGCGUGUUGCAGAAGCGCCCGGUGCGGGAUGCCGGCCUGCGGGGUAUAAACAGCUUUAGGCUGAGACGAAGCGUGAGUGACGGUACUGAGUAAAGAAGCACCGGCUAACUACGUG
RNAcentral lists this ribosomal RNA (468 nucleotides) under uncultured bacterium. RNAcentral's name for it is "partial 16S ribosomal RNA". It matches the Rfam family "Bacterial small subunit ribosomal RNA", at positions 28 to 507 of the family's 1533-position model. The record is from RNAcentral.